Molecule: ribosomal RNA, 301 nt
Filed under: uncultured bacterium
Lineage: Bacteria
Description: partial 16S ribosomal RNA
Rfam family: Bacterial small subunit ribosomal RNA
Source: RNAcentral
CAGUCGCCGCGGUAAUACGUAGGUGGCAAGCGUUGUCCGGAAUUAUUGGGCGUAAAGGGCUCGCAGGCGGUUUCUUAAGUCUGAUGUGAAAGCCCCCGGCUCAACCGGGGAGGGUCAUUGGAAACUGGGAAACUUGAGUGCAGAAGAGGAGAGUGGAAUUCCACGUGUAGCGGUGAAAUGCGUAGAGAUGUGAGGAACACCAGUGGCGAAGGCGACUCUCUGGUCUGUAACUGACGCUGAGGAGCGAAAGCGUGGGGAGCGAACAGGAUUAGAUACCCCAGUAGUCCCUGUCUCUUAUACA